AUGGUGUUGGCUGUGGGAGUCUCAGAGGUGGUGGCUAUGGGAGUUUGAGAGGUGGUGGCUAUCUGCAUUACUGUGGUGGUGGCUGUGGGAGUCUGAGAGGUGGUGGCUAUGGGAGUUUGAGAGGUGGUGGCUAUCUGCAUUACUGUGGUGUUGGCUGUGGGAGUCUGAGGGGUUUUGGCUAUGGGAGUCUGAGAGGUGGUGGCUAUCUGCAUUACUGUGGUGUUGGCUGUGGGAGUCUGAGAGGUGGUGGCUAUGGGAGUCUGAGAGGUGGUGGCUAUCUGCAUUACUGUGGUGUUGGCAGUGGGAGUCUGAGAGGUGGUGGCUAUGGGAGUCUGAGAGGUGGUGGCUAUCUGCAUUACUGUGGUGUUGGCAGUGGGAGUCUGAGAG
Molecule: long non-coding RNA, 387 nt
Organism: Clupea harengus (Atlantic herring)
Lineage: Eukaryota; Metazoa; Chordata; Actinopteri; Clupeiformes; Clupeidae
Source: Ensembl